GACGAACGCUGGCGGCGUGCCUAAUACAUGCAAGUCGAACGAGAGCGCCCGGUGCUUGCACUGGUCAAUCUAGUGGCGAACGGGUGAGUAACACGUGGGUAACCUGCCCAUCAGAGGGGGAUAACAUCCGGAAACGGAUGCUAAAACCGCAUAGGUCUUCGAGCCGCAUGGCUUGAAGAGGAAAAGAGGCGCAAGCUUCUGCUGAUGGAUGGACCCGCGGUGCAUUAGCUAGUUGGUGAGGUAACGGCUCACCAAGGCCGUGAUGCAUAGCCGACCUGAGAGGGUGAUCGGCCACAUUGGGACUGAGACACGGCCCAAACUCCUACGGGAGGCAGCAGUAGGGAAUCUUCCGCAAUGGACGCAAGUCUGACGGAGCAACGCCGCGUGAGUGAAGAAGGUUUUCGGAUCGUAAAACUCUGUUGUUAGAGAAGAACAAGUGCUAGAGUAACUGUUAGCGCCUUGACGGUAUCUAACCAGAAAGCCACGGCUAGCUACGUG
RNAcentral lists this ribosomal RNA (498 nucleotides) under uncultured bacterium. Its description in RNAcentral is "partial 16S ribosomal RNA". It matches the Rfam family "Bacterial small subunit ribosomal RNA", at positions 28 to 507 of the family's 1533-position model. The record is from RNAcentral.